RNAcentral lists this ribosomal RNA (601 nucleotides) under uncultured archaeon. Its description in RNAcentral is "bacterial SSU rRNA". It matches the Rfam family "Archaeal small subunit ribosomal RNA", at positions 319 to 923 of the family's 1478-position model. The record is from RNAcentral.
UCCCUAUGGGGUGCAGCAGGCGCGAAACCUCCACAAUGCGCGAAAGCGUGAUGGGGUUACCCCGAGUGCCGUCCGAUGAGGAGGGCUUUUCCUCGGUGUACAAAGCCGGGGGAAUAAAGGGGGGGUAAGACUGGUGUCAGCCGCCGCGGUAAUACCAGCCCCCUGAGUGAUAGGGACGAUUAUUUAGCCUAAAGCGUUCGUAGCCGGCUUAGCAAGUCUUUCGUUAAAUCUGACGACUCAAUCGUUAGUCUGCGGGAGAUACUACUAGGCUUGAGGGUGGGAGAGGUUGACGGUAUUUCCAGGGUAGGGGUGAAAUCCUAUAAUCCUGGGAGGACCACCAGUGGCGAAGGCGGUCAACUAGAACACGCCUGACGGUGAGGGACGAAAGCUGGGGUAGCGAACCGGAUUAGACACCCGGGUAGUCCCAGCUGUAAACGAUGCGGGCUAGGUGUCGGAGCAGCUACGAGCUGCUUCAGUGCCGCAGAGAAGUCGUUAAGCCCGCCGCUUGGGAAGUACGAUCGCAAGAUUGAAACUUAAAGGAAUUGGCGGGGGAGCACCACAAGGGGUGAAGCUUGCGGUUCAAUUGGAUUCAACGCCGGAA